This 253-nucleotide ribosomal RNA is filed under the name uncultured bacterium. RNAcentral's name for it is "partial 16S ribosomal RNA". It matches the Rfam family "Bacterial small subunit ribosomal RNA", at positions 524 to 776 of the family's 1533-position model. The record is from RNAcentral.
UACGUAGGGUGCAAGCGUUGUCCGGAAUUAUUGGGCGUAAAGAGCUCGUAGGCGGUCUGUCGCGUCGGCUGUGAAAUCCCGAGGCUCAACCUCGGGUCUGCAGUCGAUACGGGCAAACUUGAGUGUUGCAGGGGAGACUGGAAUUCCUGGUGUAGCGGUGAAAUGCGCAGAUAUCAGGAGGAACACCGGUGGCGAAGGCGGGUCUCUGGGCAACAACUGACGCUGAGGAGCGAAGGCGUGGGGAGCGAACAGG